Molecule: non-coding RNA, 137 nt
Organism: Triticum aestivum (bread wheat)
Lineage: Eukaryota; Viridiplantae; Streptophyta; Magnoliopsida; Poales; Poaceae
Source: Rfam
AAAAUACUCCCUCCGUCCCAAAAUUCUUGUCUUAGAUUAGUCUAGAUACGGAUGUAUCUAAAAUACUAAAACGUGACUUGAUACAUACGUAUUUAGACAAAUCUAAGACAAGAAUUUUAGGACGGAGGGAGUAGAUG